GCGCGGGUGGCGGAACUGGUAGACGCGUACGUUUGAGGGGCGUAUGCCUAACGGCGUAAGGGUUCGAGUCCCUUCCCGCGCA
Molecule: transfer RNA, 82 nt
Filed under: Elusimicrobiota bacterium
Lineage: Bacteria; Pseudomonadati; Elusimicrobiota
Also listed under: 1 other name
Description: Elusimicrobia bacterium (anaerobic digester metagenome) tRNA-Leu
Rfam family: tRNA
About the family: Transfer RNA (tRNA) molecules are approximately 80 nucleotides in length. Their secondary structure includes four short double-helical elements and three loops (D, anti-codon, and T loops).
Source: RNAcentral